This is a long non-coding RNA of Pyrus x bretschneideri (Chinese white pear), 499 nucleotides long. RefSeq lists it as uncharacterized. The record is from RefSeq and is a predicted model, not a curated record. The transcript has 3 exons. Lineage: Eukaryota; Viridiplantae; Streptophyta; Magnoliopsida; Rosales; Rosaceae.
AACUAUAAGCUUUGAAAAUUAUUGAGUUGAAUGUCGUUUUUUUUGUUUGAAAAUUUGUGCGUUAAUUGUGCUCACUCUUUGUUUUUUCUUUGCAGUAAAACACUUCGCAUGAGCCACAAGGUUACUGAAAUUAUAGAUUUGAAAUUGUUAGUGUUUUUCUUUUCUUUUCUUUUUUUUUUUUUUUUUUUUGUUUUUUGUUUUUUUAAUUAUAACCUUUGUGAAGUUAUUGAUUUGAAGAAUGUUGUGUUCGAAUGAAAAUUUUGAUUUGAAUUAUUAGAUAAGCAUGGAGUAUGUAGGAAUUCAACCCAAAGCUAGCCAAAAACUGCCUCGCCGGGCUGAGUCUGGUGCACCGGGAAGUGGUUCUGAAUGACUUUCUGAUGCCCUUGCCUUUACAGGGAUGACGAGUCUACACACAGGCACGAAGGCCGAGUCGACUCACCAAUGACUCUACGAGUUCGAAAAUCUGUGAAGGUUGGAGCACCAGGAACGUGAUACUCAG